GGGAAUUUAGUUAAUAAUAACAUUUAGUUUGCAACUAAAAAGUAUUGAAUUUCAAUAUUUCUCA
This 64-nucleotide transfer RNA is filed under the name Hydroporus signatus. Its description in RNAcentral is "tRNA-Ala". Lineage: Eukaryota; Metazoa; Arthropoda; Insecta; Coleoptera; Dytiscidae. The record is from RNAcentral.